This 336-nucleotide long non-coding RNA is filed under the name Homo sapiens (human). Its description in RNAcentral is "non-protein coding lnc-PPP4R1-23:1". The record is from RNAcentral. Lineage: Eukaryota; Metazoa; Chordata; Mammalia; Primates; Hominidae.
GAGAGGGAGAGAAGGCACAGACUAAGUCAUGAGAGAAAUAGAUGAACAAAUGGAGGAUGCUUAAUGGAUAGAAGAAGAGAUAGAGGGAGAGGGUUGGGGAGCAGAUGAUAGAGUCUCCACAUAGGAGACUGGUGGGGGUUAACUGCAGCGAGGUUUGAAAGCACCUAGCAAUGUCUCAGCUUGUGGUAAGAGAAGCACGCAGACCCAUCCUGCUGGACUCUGCUGCUGUUAAUACAACUAGUGCUGCUGGUCAGGGUGGCCAGAAGCUGUCAGGAAAGGGCUGGUAAGAUCCUUCAAAGUGGCUGCUGUGCUUCCCUCUGUCACCUAGAACCCUAA